GAUAACUUGACGGAGUGCCACGGUUUUUACAGAUGGUUUUGUUAAAAACAAAGUGGCUGAGAAUGUAAGUACAUAAUCCGUUGAACCUGAUGCGGUUAACACCGCCGUAGGAAGUCAAGUUUUCAUCUUAU
RNAcentral lists this non-coding RNA (131 nucleotides) under Moraxella macacae. RNAcentral describes it as "TPP sequence". It matches the Rfam family "TPP riboswitch aptamer (THI element)". From Rfam's summary of the family: Vitamin B(1) in its active form thiamin pyrophosphate (TPP) is an essential coenzyme that is synthesised by coupling of pyrimidine and thiazole moieties in bacteria. The previously detected thiamin-regulatory element, thi box was extended, resulting in a new, highly conserved RNA secondary structure, the THI element, which is widely distributed in eubacteria and also occurs in some archaea. The record is from RNAcentral. Lineage: Bacteria; Pseudomonadati; Pseudomonadota; Gammaproteobacteria; Moraxellales; Moraxellaceae. RNAcentral also lists the same sequence under 1 other name.